This 757-nucleotide ribosomal RNA is filed under the name uncultured Gram-positive bacterium. RNAcentral's name for it is "bacterial SSU rRNA". It matches the Rfam family "Bacterial small subunit ribosomal RNA", at positions 567 to 1324 of the family's 1533-position model. The record is from RNAcentral.
GCGCGCAGGCGGUUCCUUAAGUCUGAUGUGAAAGCCCACGGCUCAACCGUGGAGGGUCAUUGGAAACUGGGGAACUUGAGUGCAGGAGAGGGGAGCGGAAUUCCACGUGUAGCGGUGAAAUGCGUAGAGAUGUGGAGGAACACCAGUGGCGAAGGCGGCUCUCUGGCCUGUAACUGACGCUGAGGCGCGAAAGCGUGGGGAGCGAACAGGAUUAGAUACCCUGGUAGUCCACGCCGUAAACGAUGAGUGCUACGUGUUGGAGGGGUCAUACCCUUCAGUGCUGCAGCUAACGCAUUAAGCACUCCGCCUGGGGAGUACGGCCGCAAGGCUGAAACUCAAAGGAAUUGACGGGGGCCCGCACAAGCGGUGGAGCAUGUGGUUUAAUUCGAAGCAACGCGAAGAACCUUACCAGGCCUUGACAUCCUCUGACGACCCUGGAGACAGGGCUUCCCCUUCGGGGGCAGAGUGACAGGUGGUGCAUGGUUGUCGUCAGCUCGUGUCGUGAGAUGUUGGGUUAAGUCCCGCAACGAGCGCAACCCUCGUCCUUAGUUGCCAGCAUUCAGUUGGGCACUCUAAGGAGACUGCCGGUGACAAACCGGAGGAAGGUGGGGAUGACGUCAAAUCAUCAUGCCCCUUAUGGCCUGGGCUACACACGUGCUACAAUGGGCGGUACAAAGGGUUGCGAAACCGCGAGGUGGAGCUAAUCCCAAAAAGCCGCUCUCAGUUCGGAUUGCAGGCUGCAACUCGCCUGCAUGAA